UAUCUCUUGCAUUCCCCCAUGAAAGUAAACAAAACAAAGCAAGCAAGUAGACAAAAAAGCAAGAACAAAACAAAAAAGAAAAGAAAGAAGUCGAUUAAACCAAAACAAAACAAAAAAAACCCCACACUAGAAACAGCAAAAUCUCCGCGUCUCCUUUUCUCCUGCCUCUCCAUCAUCUCUUCAUCUGUCUUGAUGGCACUGGAUGCUUCUGUGGGUCAUAUAGUAUACCCCUUUGUCCCAUCAGCUUGACUGGCAACUGUCCAUUGCAAUGAGUCAUUGGUCUGGUUCAAGGCCUCUGGUUUUUGGUACACCAUCCUCAAUGGAUCUUCACCCAAGCUCUUCUGGAGUAUCCUGUGUUUUGGAGAUCUUUCAGAUGGCAGCAGGAGAAACAGACAUCAGCGCAGACCCUGGCUGCAGCUGGGACAUGGACCCUGACAUGGCCCUCAGCUGCAGCAUGGCUCAUGAACCCCAUCUUGGCCCCAGGAGGCAGCCCAGUCCCCUGGAGUCAGCAUGACACCCAAUGCCAGCAGGAGCCACAGAUAUCAACACAGACCCUGGCUACUAUAGGACCAGACUACAUAUGGCCCUUGGUUGCAGCCUGAUCCUGACAUCACCAUGGCAAGCAGACCCCCCUCCUCAGUUUACUCCUCACCACCACCACCAUGGACUCAGGAGACGAAAAGCUAUGGAUACCACUGAGAUUCAUAAAGAUUAGAUUUGAGCAGGAAAGUCCUUCUGAAUAAGGAGAAGCAAUGGUUCAUCAGACAGUUUGGCCAUUCAAUCCGGACGAUCUUAUAAAGACUAACAAUAGCCUUUCAUUUGAUCAGGUGAAAAAAAUAAAAAUCUAUAGCCCAGGCUGGCCUGGAACUUUGAUCCUCCUGCCUGUACCUCUUUCAGCAAAUCUUACCAGUGUGCCCCACCACACAGGGGUCAAGACCAUGCUAGAAAAACCCACAGAAACAACUGAUCUGAACAAGUGGGAGCUCACAGACCCCAG
Molecule: non-coding RNA, 997 nt
Organism: Cricetulus griseus (Chinese hamster)
Lineage: Eukaryota; Metazoa; Chordata; Mammalia; Rodentia; Cricetidae
Source: RefSeq, a predicted model, not a curated record